This 253-nucleotide ribosomal RNA is filed under the name uncultured bacterium. RNAcentral describes it as "partial 16S ribosomal RNA". It matches the Rfam family "Bacterial small subunit ribosomal RNA", at positions 524 to 776 of the family's 1533-position model. The record is from RNAcentral.
GACGAACCUUGCUAACGUUAUUCGGAAUUACUGGGCUUAAAGGGUGCGUAGGCGGUGCAGCAAGUCGGGUGUGAAAUCCCUCGGCCCAACCGAGGAAUUGCGCUCAAAACUACUGAGCUUGAGGGGUAUAGAGGUAAGCGGAACUGAUGGUGGAGCGGUGAAAUGCGUUGAUAUCAUCAGGAACACCGGUGGCGAAGGCGGCUUACUGGGUACCUCCUGACGCUGAGGAACGAAAGCUAGGGGAGCGAACGGG